Molecule: ribosomal RNA, 301 nt
Filed under: uncultured bacterium
Lineage: Bacteria
Description: partial 16S ribosomal RNA
Rfam family: Bacterial small subunit ribosomal RNA
Source: RNAcentral
CAGCCGCCGCGGUAAUACGGGGGGAGCUAGCGUUGUUCGGAAUUACUGGGCGUAAAGCGCGCGUAGGCGGUUACUCAAGUCAGAGGUGAAAGCCCGGGGCUCAACCCCGGAACUGCCUUUGAAACUAGGUGACUAGAAUCUUGGAGAGGUCAGUGGAAUUCCGAGUGUAGAGGUGAAAUUCGUAGAUAUUCGGAAGAACACCAGUGGCGAAGGCGGCUGACUGGACAAGUAUUGACGCUGAGGUGCGAAAGCGUGGGGAGCAAACAGGAUUAGAUACCCCGGUAGUCCCUGUCUCUUAUAC